AGAGUUUGAUCAUGGCUCAGAACGAACGCUGGCGGCAGGCCUAACACAUGCAAGUCGAACGCCCCGCAAGGGGAGUGGCAGACGGGUGAGUAACACGUGGGAACAUGCCCUUCGGUUCGGAAUAACUCAGGGAAACUUGAGCUAAUACCGGAUACGUCCGCGAGGAGAAAGAUUCAUCGCCGAAGGAUUGGCCCGCGUCCGAUUAGCUAGUUGGUGAGGUAAUGGCUCACCAAGGCGACGAUCGGUAGCUGGUCUGAGAGGAUGAUCAGCCACAUUGGGACUGAGACACGGCCCAAACUCCUACGGGAGGCAGCAGUGGGGAAUAUUGGACAAUGGGCGAAAGCCUGAUCCAGCCAUGCCGCGUGAGUGAUGAAGGCCCUAGGGUUGUAAAGCUCUUUCGUCAGGGACGAUAAUGACGGUACCUGAAGAAGAAGCCCCGGCUAACUUCGUGCCAGCAGCCGCGGUAAUACGAAGGGGGCUAGCGUUGUUCGGAAUCACUGGGCGUAAAGCGCACGUAGGCGGAUUGUUAAGUCAGGGGUGAAAUGCCAAGGCUCAACCUUGGAACUGCCUUUGAUACUGGCAAUCUCGAGUCCGGGAGAGGUGAGUGGAACUGCGAGUGUAGAGGUGAAAUUCGUAGAUAUUCGCAAGAACACCAGUGGCGAAGGCGGCUCACUGGCCCGGUACUGACGCUGAGGUGCGAAAGCGUGGGGAGCAAACAGGAUUAGAUACCCCGGUAGUCC
RNAcentral lists this ribosomal RNA (740 nucleotides) under uncultured bacterium. Its description in RNAcentral is "bacterial SSU rRNA". It matches the Rfam family "Bacterial small subunit ribosomal RNA", at positions 8 to 796 of the family's 1533-position model. The record is from RNAcentral.